UAUUGUGCGCGGCUGGGAUCCCCGAGAGUCAAUGUCUUGCCUCUGGCCGGCGUAACUCUUGCCCAGUCUGCGUGAAUAUUCACCCAUGUUUUUGCGUACUUCUUGUUUCCUUGGUGGGCUCGCCCGCCAACCGGACACUGUUAAACCUUUUGUAAUUGCAGUCAGCGUCAGUACAAUUUAAUUAUUACAACUUUCAACAACGGAUCUCUUGGUUCU
RNAcentral lists this unclassified non-coding RNA (216 nucleotides) under rhizosphere metagenome. RNAcentral describes it as "partial ribosomal RNA internal transcribed spacer region". The record is from RNAcentral.